AUGGAACGCUGGCGGCAUGCCUUACACAUGCAAGUCGAACGGCAGCACGGGUGCUUGCACCUGGUGGCGAGUGGCGAACGGGUGAGUAAUACAUCGGAACGUACCUUAUCGUGGGGGAUAACGCAGCGAAAGCUGUGCUAAUACCGCAUACGCCCUGAGGGGGAAAGCGGGGGAUCGCAAGACCUCGCGCGAUUAGAGCGGCCGAUGCCUGAUUAGCUUGUUGGUGGGGUAAAAGCCCACCAAGGCGACGAUCAGUAGCUGGUCUGAGAGGACGAUCAGCCACACUGGGACUGAGACACGGCCCAGACUCCUACGGGAGGCAGCAGUGGGGAAUUUUGGACAAUGGGGGCAACCCUGAUCCAGCAAUGCCGCGUGAGUGAAGAAGGCCUUCGGGUUGUAAAGCUCUUUUGUCAGGGAAGAAACACCGGCUCUAACACAGUCUGGGAAUGACGGUACCUGAAGAAUAAGCACCGGCUAACUACGUGCCAGCAGCCGCGGUAA
Molecule: ribosomal RNA, 501 nt
Filed under: uncultured bacterium
Lineage: Bacteria
Description: partial 16S ribosomal RNA
Rfam family: Bacterial small subunit ribosomal RNA
Source: RNAcentral